This 23-nucleotide unclassified non-coding RNA is filed under the name Dictyostelium discoideum. The record is from RNAcentral. Lineage: Eukaryota; Evosea; Eumycetozoa; Dictyosteliales; Dictyosteliaceae.
UGCCGUUCGGGUUAUCGACAGAU